This 107-nucleotide ribosomal RNA is filed under the name Thermoactinomyces intermedius. Its description in RNAcentral is "partial 23S ribosomal RNA". It matches the Rfam family "Bacterial large subunit ribosomal RNA", at positions 1 to 107 of the family's 2925-position model. Lineage: Bacteria; Bacillati; Bacillota; Bacilli; Caryophanales; Thermoactinomycetaceae. The record is from RNAcentral.
GGGUAAGUUACUAAGGGCACACGGUGGAUGCCUUGGCGCCAGGAGCCGAUGAAGGACGGGACGAACACCGAUAUGCCUCGGGGAGCUGUAAGUGAGCGUUGAUCCGG